Molecule: transfer RNA, 77 nt
Filed under: Natrarchaeobius chitinivorans
Lineage: Archaea; Methanobacteriati; Methanobacteriota; Halobacteria; Halobacteriales; Natrialbaceae
Description: tRNA-Ser
Source: RNAcentral
GAGUGUGUAGUUCAGCCCGGAAGAACGCCCGGUUCGAGAUCGGGACGCCGGGGACGUGAGUCCGCGCGGCACGUCCC